GAUUUCUGGCUUGAAACAUUUUGCCGGCCACGGUUUCGUGUGUUAGUGCUUGAUGUUCUGGCCAUCCUUCCAAUUGCUAUACAUCUUUCUUCAUUGAAGGGUGUGUGGUAUUGGAUCUUUUACUUUGAAAAAAUUAGAGUGUUUAAAGCAGGCUUGCGCUAUGAAUACAUUAGCAUGGAAUAAUAAUUUAGGACUUUGGUUCUAUUUUGUUGGUUUCUAGGACUGAAGUAAUGAUUGAUAGGGACAGUUGGGGGUGCUAGUAUUCAGCGGCCAGAGGUGAAAUUCUUGGAUUCGCUGAAGACUAACUUAUGCGAAAGCAUU
Molecule: ribosomal RNA, 321 nt
Filed under: Sandonidae sp.
Lineage: Eukaryota; Cercozoa; Glissomonadida; Sandonidae
Description: SSU rRNA
Rfam family: Eukaryotic small subunit ribosomal RNA (bases 62-321)
Source: RNAcentral